UACGUAGGGUGCGAGCGUUGUCCGGAAUUAUUGGGCGUAAAGGGCUCGUAGGCGGUCUGUCACGUCGGGAGUGAAAACUCAGGGCUUAACCCUGAGCCUGCUUCCGAUACGGGCAGACUAGAGGUAUGCAGGGGAGAACGGAAUUCCUGGUGUAGCGGUGAAAUGCGCAGAUAUCAGGAGGAACACCGGUGGCGAAGGCGGUUCUCUGGGCCGAUACUGACGCUGAGGAGCGAAAGCGUGGGGAGCGAACAGG
This 253-nucleotide ribosomal RNA is filed under the name uncultured bacterium. RNAcentral describes it as "partial 16S ribosomal RNA". It matches the Rfam family "Bacterial small subunit ribosomal RNA", at positions 524 to 776 of the family's 1533-position model. The record is from RNAcentral.